GCAGUCGAACGAGAAAGUACCUUCGGGUGCGAGUAGAGUGGCGCACGGGUGAGUAACGCGUAGGUGACGUACCUUUUAGUGGGGGACAACAUCGGGAAACCGGUGCUAAUACCGCAUAUUCAAUACGACAUUGAAAAAGUAUUGCAAAGAUGGCCUCUCCUUGGAAGCUAUUGCUAAAAGCACGGCCUGCGUUGCAUUAGCUAGUUGGUAAGGUAAUGGCUUACCAAGGCGACGAUCAGUAGCUGGUUUGAGAGGAUGAUCAGCCACACUGGAACUGAGACACGGUCCAGACUCCUACGGGAGGCAGCAGUGGGGAAUUUUCUGCAAUGGGCGAAAGCCUGACAGAGCAAUACCGCGUGAGGGAUGAAGGCUUGUGGGUCGUAAACCUCUUUUUUCAGGGAGGAAGUUCUGACGUGUACCUGAAGAAUAAGCAUCGGCUAACUCCGUGCCAGCAGCCGCGGUAAGACGGAGGAUGCAAGUGUUAUCCGGAAUUACUGGGCGUAAAGCGUCUGUAGGUGGUUUAGUAAGUUUAUUGUUAAAUCUUGAGGCUCAACUUUAAAUCAGCAAUGGAAACUGCUAGACUCGAGUAUGGUAGAGGUAAGAGGAAUUUUCAGUGGAGCGGUGAAAUGCGUAGAUAUUGGAAAGAACACCGAUGGCGAAGGCAUCUUACUGGGCCAUUACUGACACUCAGAGACGAAAGCUAGGGUAGCAAAUGGGAUUAGAUACCCCAGUAGUCCUAGCAGUAAACGAUGGAUACUAGAUGUUGCCCGUAUCAACCCGUGCAGUGUCAAAGCUAACGCGUUAAGUAUCCCGCC
Molecule: ribosomal RNA, 815 nt
Filed under: uncultured bacterium
Lineage: Bacteria
Description: bacterial SSU rRNA
Rfam family: Bacterial small subunit ribosomal RNA
Source: RNAcentral